Non-coding RNA from Callorhinus ursinus (northern fur seal), 371 nucleotides. The record is from RefSeq and is a predicted model, not a curated record. Lineage: Eukaryota; Metazoa; Chordata; Mammalia; Carnivora; Otariidae.
GCCGGCGUGCUUGAACCGUGUGUGGAGGGAGAGGAGGAGCGUUCGUCGCCCUGGCGUCUGUCAGCAGCGCAGUGAAAGACAAAGAUGAAGACCCCCUGGAAGGCGUUGAAAGUGGUGAAGAGAUAGGCCAUGACCACUGACUCCUUAUUGAUGAAAAGCAGGCCGAACGCCCAGGUGGCACGCUCUUUCCUCAUGCUCUGGGAGGCUUGUGGAGAGAUGACAAAGGUGACGCCAACUUGCUUCUCCAGAGUGCCCUGGGAGAAGGUGGGACCAUGACCAGAAAGAACCAGACAUGUGGCCUCCUGCCCCGGGCAAGACUGGUGCCACCCCCCCAAUGCCCACGAAGCUGGUCUUCCCUGGCACUGCCCAUG